Molecule: ribosomal RNA, 169 nt
Filed under: uncultured Thermodesulfovibrio sp.
Lineage: Bacteria; Pseudomonadati; Nitrospirota; Thermodesulfovibrionia; Thermodesulfovibrionales; Thermodesulfovibrionaceae
Description: partial 16S ribosomal RNA
Rfam family: Bacterial small subunit ribosomal RNA
Source: RNAcentral
GCCUACGGGAGGCAGCAGCAAGGAAUAUUGGGCAAUGGGCGAAAGCCUGACCCAGCGACGCCGCGUGGGGGAUGAAGGCCUUAGGGUUGUAAACCCCUUUUGCCGGGGAAGAAUAAUGACGGUACCCGGCGAAUAAGCCACGGCUAACUACGUGCCAGCAGCCGCGGUC